This 325-nucleotide long non-coding RNA is filed under the name Cicer arietinum (chickpea). RNAcentral describes it as "long non-coding RNA (CARI_LNC001333)". Lineage: Eukaryota; Viridiplantae; Streptophyta; Magnoliopsida; Fabales; Fabaceae. The record is from RNAcentral.
UCGAUGCCUUUACCAAUGGGUUUGUACCGUACAGUUCCUUGUUCCCCUUCUCUCCGUGUUUCUCGCAAAUGUACCGGCAUAUCGCUCGAGACUCUGGUCAUAUUUUUAUUUAUUAUUUGAAUUAUUAUUUAAUUUAAUCUAAUUUAAUUUAAUUAAUUAUUUAACUUACCGAAUAGGGAAAUAUCAUCGUCCUCAAAUGCAGGUACUUGAGCAAAAGGCUGCAAUGAAAGGAAGGAAGUGUGAGUGUGAGAAACAAAUUGAAAUGAAUUAGUAAUGACCUACCUGGAUUUUGAGGAAAUUGGGCUUCUUGUGUUCUCCUUUGGAC